This 276-nucleotide ribosomal RNA is filed under the name uncultured bacterium. RNAcentral describes it as "partial 16S ribosomal RNA". It matches the Rfam family "Bacterial small subunit ribosomal RNA", at positions 334 to 607 of the family's 1533-position model. The record is from RNAcentral.
AUGCCCUACGGGGGGCAGCAGUGAGGAAUAUUGGUCAAUGGGAGAGAUCCUGAACCAGCCAAGCCGCGUGAGGGAAGACGGCCCUAUGGGUUGUAAACCUCUUUUGUCGGAGAACAAAACCCGGGACGAGUCCCGGACUGCGUGUAUCCGAAGAAAAAGCAUCGGCUAACUCCGUGCCAGCAGCCGCAGUAAUACGGAGGAUGCGAGCGUUAUCCGGAUUUAUUGGGUUUAAAGGGUGCGUAGGCGGUCCGUUAAGUCAGCGGUCAAAUUGCGGGG